CCUACGGGAGGCAGCAGUCGAGAAUUAUUCACAAUGGGGGAAACCCUGAUGGUGCGACGCCGCGUGGGGGAAUGAAGGUCUUCGGAUUGUAAACCCCUGUCAUGUGGGAGCAAAUUAAGAAGAUCGUACCACACGAGGAAGAGACGGCUAACUCUGUGCCAGCAGCCGCGGUAAUACAGAGGUCUCAAGCGUUGUUCGGAAUCACUGGGCGUAAAGCGUGCGUAGGCUGUUUCGUAAGUCGUGUGUGAAAGGCGCGGGCUCAACCCGCGGACGGCACAUGAUACUGCGAGACUAGAGUAAUGGAGGGGGAACCGGAAUUCUCGGUGUAGCAGUGAAAUGCGUAGAUAUCGAGAGGAACACUCGUGGCGAAGGCGGGUUCCUGGACAUUAACUGACGCUGAGGCACGAAGGCCAGGGGAGCGAAAGGGAUUAGAUACCCCGGUAGUC
RNAcentral lists this ribosomal RNA (446 nucleotides) under uncultured bacterium. RNAcentral describes it as "partial 16S ribosomal RNA". It matches the Rfam family "Bacterial small subunit ribosomal RNA", at positions 338 to 795 of the family's 1533-position model. The record is from RNAcentral.